Molecule: long non-coding RNA, 330 nt
Filed under: Brassica napus (rape)
Lineage: Eukaryota; Viridiplantae; Streptophyta; Magnoliopsida; Brassicales; Brassicaceae
Description: long non-coding RNA (BNAP_LNC010706)
Source: RNAcentral
GUACUAAAAGUGCAACUCAUCCAGACGAAUCAUCUGGAUGACUUUAAGAAAUUUAGACUUAAUUUUAAAAUUCUGUAGGCUGAUCCAAAUUGAACCAUCUGGAUAGAGAUGGUUCUGUCAUAAUGAUAUAAUGUCUAUUAUACCUUUGAUGUAAAAUUAUAAACCUAAAUAUAAUAUCAUUUUGUCACAUAUGAAAAAUGACAAAACCACAAAAACGCAUUUUCCUGUUGAAACCUAAAACGCAUUUUCCCAUCAAAACCAUAAAAACUCAUUUUCCCGCAAAAAUUGCAAGAAUACACUUUUCCACCAAAAUUGCAAAAACGCGUUUUU